AUGGUUCUCGUCCGCUACGGCGUCUCCCACCUCAUCGAACAUCCGCUGCCACCAAAUGCUUCCGCUACCUACCUCGAGCUCGAUGCUCAUGUCAUUCUCUGGAUCUACGCCACCCUUUCGGACACCAUGUGUGAUCACGUCGUCGGCGCCACGACCACCUUCGCCCUCUGGAACAAGAUCCGCGACUACUUCCUUGCCAAUCGCGCCGCUCGCUUCAUGAUCCUCAACCGCAAGUACCGCAACCUCAAGCAGGGCGACCUGUCCGUCUCCGAGUACACUCGCCGGAUGAAGCUCCUCACCGACACCCUCGCCGACAUCGACCGCGCCGUCACCGAGGUGGAUCUCACCACCCAAUUCCUCCAUGGCCUCGACAAGCGGCUCGACACGAUCAGGGUCGUCCUUGGUGACCAGGACCUGCCCUUCGACACCGUCCUCUCUCGGGUCGUCCUGGCCGAGGAAUCCCAGGAGCAUCGCGCGGCCGAAGAGAGCGCCUCCGCGUUCGCGCUGACGGGUGGCAGUGCCUCUGGUGCCGGCUCCAGCACGGGCGGCCAUGCCCCGAUGGAUCGUACGGAUCGCUCCUCCACUGGUGCUCCGGCCGCUCCUCCCCAGCCGCUCCCGCACCCUGGCCGUGGACGCGGUGACCGCGACGGUGGUGACCAUGGUGGCCGUGGCCGCGAUCGUGGCAGCGGUCGUGGGCGCGGCGACAACACUGAACGCGGCCACGCCGCUCCUCCCCUGGCGUCGCCCUUCACUGGCUACUUCGCGCCUUACGGGAUGGCGAUCCCCUACCCGCGCUCCGGCUGGAUCCCGUCGAAUGCGGCCGGCUUCCUUGUCCCGCGCCCGGGCUCUCAUGUGCAGGCUUAUCCGCUCCUCCCCACCCCGCCGGCGCCCGCCGCUCCGUUCCACCAGCACCCUCCCUCGUCAUAG
This 927-nucleotide ribosomal RNA is filed under the name Triticum aestivum (bread wheat). RNAcentral describes it as "partial small subunit ribosomal RNA". Lineage: Eukaryota; Viridiplantae; Streptophyta; Magnoliopsida; Poales; Poaceae. The record is from RNAcentral.